RNAcentral lists this long non-coding RNA (1153 nucleotides) under Homo sapiens (human). RNAcentral describes it as "PREDICTED lncRNA (TCONS_00001709)". The record is from RNAcentral. Lineage: Eukaryota; Metazoa; Chordata; Mammalia; Primates; Hominidae.
GGGCGGGGCAUGACUUCCGGUUCCCGCGCGGCGCUCCAAAGCUCGGGGAGUGGUGGUCUCCCUUUCCUGGAGUCAUUUGUGGGAGUUAGGGUCUUAUCCUGAUCUUUCCUCGUCCCCCGCUCCCCCGUCCUCCGAGGUGGCAGCUGCAAGUCUGGAACGUUUUUUCUUAGAGUUCCAGAAUUGAGACUGAAGUGUACCCAGAGACACAAAGAAAUACAGAAGUCCAGAAUGAUCAAAUGAGAUCACUACCCAAUGAAAUGAUGGGCCGAGGAGCCAGAAGUUGUCCUACUACCUGCUUUCCAGGUCCAGAUUCCACGAGAGCCUUCUGGGCUCCCACCAGAGACCCUCAGUGAAGACUCUGUUGAAGACUUUAAGACCAUGCUAGAAAGCCUCCCGGCAGAGGUUCAGGAAGUUCUGCUAUGAGGAUGCAGCUGGCCCCAGGGAUGUCCUCAGGCAUCUCUAGGACCUUGCUGGACGGUGGUGGCUGAGACCUGAUAUCCACACAAAGGAGCAGACUGUGGAAAUGCUGGUGCAGGAGCAAUUCCAGGCUGUCCUGCCCGAGGAGCUCAGAGCUCAAGCACAGAGAUGUCAGCCUGGAAUCAGAAUCACUGGCUAAGUCUUGCUGCUUGCUUCUUGCUCAGCCUGCAUAUGAGAAGUCAACCAAGCAUUCUCUUGGAUGCAAGAUCCAACUGCACCCAUGGGAAAUCUGAACUUCCACUUUCUUUGAGCUUGUCUUUGGUUGUAAUAAGAAUCCAUCAAAACCCAUGUCUGGAUCUCUCUUUGGCUGAGGCAGCUUUAUUUCCUACAGAAAGAGUUUCUCUGUCCUCUUGUUAGGACAAUCAGCCUGCUGCUUUGGGCUUUUCCAAGAGCCUAUUUUUCAUCUGCUGGAUGCCUCUUUUUUUUUUUUUUUUUUUUUUUGCACUGUGUGACAUGCUUUAAUAUAUAUAUUUUUUAUGUAUCCAAAGAGGUAAUCAACUUUAACUUUCAGAAUUCAUGAAUCUUGGUUUGGUGGCAUGAAUGAAAGGUUAUGUAACCCCACCAGUAACUCAUUUGGGGUGCCCUUGAAAUAUUAAAGUUUGGUCCUCAAUAAAUAUGUGCUGUGGUGAUUAAUCAGGUUAGCGCUUAGUAGUCAGCAAUUGGAGACAGGUGAGAU